UCCCCUGUAGCUCAGUGGUAGAGCAAUCGGCUGUUAACCGAUGGGUCGCUGGUUCGAAUCCAGCCGGGGGAGCCA
This 75-nucleotide transfer RNA is filed under the name Patescibacteria group bacterium. RNAcentral describes it as "tRNA-Asn". It matches the Rfam family "tRNA". From Rfam's summary of the family: Transfer RNA (tRNA) molecules are approximately 80 nucleotides in length. The record is from RNAcentral.